UGUUUUGAUGCUACCUGCUUUUGAUUUUGUGCUUCUAAAUGUCAACAGAUCAGCAUCUAUAGUUCAGUUUAAAUAAACAAGAUAAAUAUAUUCGGUCUACAUUAAAAUGGACAUAUUUAUUCACCAGACAAGCACAACUAGGUGGUAUAAAUGAGCUAUUUGCUUGGUGGGGAUACGCCAUGAUCCUAACGUUUCACCUCAGAAGAGAGGAGAAAGUUAAGAAAUCUGAGCGCUUUAAACACCUGAAUUCAUCUGCAGCCUCUCUGAGAGCAGCUACUUACAAACAGUUAGGUUCCGAACUCCACAAUGGCUUACUCACAUACAGCUACCAAGCUACUCUACAGGGUACUGCCUAAACGACUUUAAGAACAACUUUCGCAGUGAAAGCUGGAGAAGCAGAAGCGAAAUGAGAGCAAACCAUAACGAGACGAGCUCAGCAAGGAUGCCGGGGAGCGUUAUUUGGAUAAAUGAUCAUCUGUUAACGGCAACGAUGAGCUAAGCUGGUUGUGCAACCGUGUUGCGCUUGUAGCUGUAAAUGUUUGUAUCGUUCACAAAUAAAGUACAUAUAUUGAAAUGUUA
Molecule: long non-coding RNA, 579 nt
Organism: Trichomycterus rosablanca
Lineage: Eukaryota; Metazoa; Chordata; Actinopteri; Siluriformes; Trichomycteridae
Exons: 3
Source: RefSeq, a predicted model, not a curated record